UACGUAGGGAGCAAGCGUUGUCCGGAAUCAUUGGGCGUAAAGCGCGCGUAGGCGGCCCUGUAAGUCCGCUGUGAAAGUCAAUGGCUCAACCUUUGAAAGCCGGUGGAUACUGCAGGGCUAGAGUCCGGAAGAGGCGAGUGGAAUUCCUGGUGUAGCGGUGGAAUGCGCAGAUAUCAGGAGGAACACCAAUAGCGAAGGCAGCUCGCUGGGACGGUACUGACGCUAAGGCGCGAAAGCGUGGGGAGCGAUCCGG
RNAcentral lists this ribosomal RNA (253 nucleotides) under uncultured bacterium. Its description in RNAcentral is "partial 16S ribosomal RNA". It matches the Rfam family "Bacterial small subunit ribosomal RNA", at positions 524 to 776 of the family's 1533-position model. The record is from RNAcentral.